Cucumis melo (muskmelon) is the source of this 2011-nucleotide RNA transcript. It is a transcript of the gene named cyclic nucleotide-gated ion channel 1-like, with no coding region annotated. Lineage: Eukaryota; Viridiplantae; Streptophyta; Magnoliopsida; Cucurbitales; Cucurbitaceae. The transcript has 7 exons. The record is from RefSeq and is a predicted model, not a curated record.
UUCAUUUCAAAUUUCAAAAAACAACUUCCCUUCGCAGCUUCUCUCUCAUUUCUAAAUUUCUUCAUCUUUCUUCUCAACGGCAACUAUCUCCCUCCUCUUCCCCCUCUCUCCGCCUCCCCUUCUCUCUCGAUCUCUUGUCUCCUUCGUCUUCCUCAGAAUCUUCACUCUUCCUUUCUCUCAAUUUCUAUUCUCUAAAAUGAAGCAUCCACCCAAGAAACCCUAUCUUGCUAAAUACCCAUCUCGCCGAUCCACUGCCAUUUUCUAUUCCAUGCGCUAACGGCGCCGGAAUCAAGGGCGGAAGACCCCUCGGAAGCCUAUGUCGUCUUCCAAAGAAAAUGCUUCACCGUCAGAUCCCAAAUUCCCAACUCCAUGGUUCCCGAUUCCAAACCCUCGCCGACUAAGUUGAAGAGCCUGCUCCAUCUUCUAACCCACUUAAGCGGAAGCUCAGUAUGGAGACCGUUCCUGAGAAUUCCAUCCCUGGGUUGUCUGAUUCUGUUGUUAAGAUUAGAGAAGAUGUAAAAUCUGGUGUAGAAAAUUUAACAGAGGAGUGUGUAUCCACAAUGGCAGCCGUUACUCGGCUUCUAAUGAAGUCGAUUAUGGUGGCUCACUUUGGAAACUUGUUACAUAGCUACUGCCAAAAGCUUUAAAUUGCCUUCCGGAUGCACCUCAAAAUCAGCUUCAUUCUUUGUGUUUUCUAAUUUCUAGCUCACUCAAUUCAGCCAUGGAUGUACGGAGAUAUUCCAAAUUUUAUAAUGCAAAACCUGAUGAAGCCGAUGAUGGUGUUUGCACAAGAGCUUGGAGAUUCUUUUUAUCUUACUUCACAAUUGACGUUCUUUCAGUUCUUCCACUCCCCCAGCCAUGCAGGGUUUACAGAAAGAUUUGAACUUUUCAUUUGUGGUCGUGAGCUGGCCAAUGCAUUUUUCGAAUUGAUCGAUCGUAUUUAUCAGAGGAUGAUUAGAAGACCAGAUCAGGCAACACAAUGAGAAGCAUGGCUCAGCUGUUUCUUAUGUAUCUCGUUUCUUAUGUAAUGACUCUUUGGACUUCAAUUGCCAAAAAGAUGAGGAUGAUUCUUAUGAAGUGACACUUGAUGAUGAUUUUCUUACUGCUUUGGAAUAUGGAAUGCCACCAGCUUCUGGACUGGAAUAAAGGAAAAAAUGGAGUCUAAUCGAAUUUGGAACCUUUGCAAGCAAGGGGAAGUUUUCUGUUCCCUAUCUCUUUUUUCGAUCCUUACAAUCUUGCUUAAAAUGCUUUGAAGACAAAUUAAAGUUUUAAGUGGGGGGUAGGGUUGUAGCUUUGCAUGUUCUAUGUCCUUUGGGAAAUUUUCAUUUUGCCAGAAAUGUUCAAAUUUUAAACUUUUUCAAUGUCUUUAUUCUUAAAAUAAAUACCAUGUCUAAUUUGCUUUCUAGUUUAGACAAGCAUGUCUGCCUAACCCUUGAGCAUGGAGCUCGGGUUUGUGAUUGUGUUUGUCAUUUGAAUAUCUUAAAUAUGUUGAAAAUGCAUUCUUUGAUAGCAUAGAAAUGCGUAGAAGACAUGCUAUUCAUUUUCUAAAUAUUGUAAAUACUGUACAUACUUAAUAAUAUGUGUUGAAAACAUGUGCUGUUGAAAACAUGGCCUAACCAAAACCAGAUCUGCCUAGCCCUUAGAGUCCAGCCGGUUAGGUCAAGUAGAAUGCGUUGAGCUCCCUCAGUAUCAGAGCUUGUGUGGGGAACUCUUCACUUUUGGCCUAACCAAAACCAGACCUUCCUAGCCUUUAAAACCCAACCGGUUAGGUGAAGUAGAAUGCGUUGAGCUCCCUCAGUAUCAGAGCUUGUGUGGGGAACUCUUCACUUUUCGCCUAACCAAAACCAGACCUACCUAGCCCUUAAAGUCCAGCCGGUUAGGUCAAGUAGAAUGCGUUGAGCUCCCUCAGUAUCAGAGCUUGUGUGGGGAACUCUUCACUUUUGGCCUAACCAAAACCAGACCUUUCUAGCCUUUAAAACCCAACCAGUUAGGUGAAGUAGAAUGCGUUGAG